This is a long non-coding RNA of Panicum virgatum (switchgrass), 1447 nucleotides long. RefSeq lists it as uncharacterized. The record is from RefSeq and is a predicted model, not a curated record. Lineage: Eukaryota; Viridiplantae; Streptophyta; Magnoliopsida; Poales; Poaceae. The transcript is spliced from 2 exons.
GAUUCUUCAGAACUCCAUCCUCUGCGCUUCAUCGGCGGAGCCGCCACCGUACCGUCGCCGUCGACUGCUCCCCGGAGCCAAAGAGGGCGGCGUUCCCGCAUGUCCCUGCUGCGGCGGCGUCCCAAGUCGGUGCAGAGAAGGGGGAUUACCUUGGACUCGUGCAGCUUAUCGGCCGCCCAGCCGCGGCGCGCCCCGCUCCGCCGCUGAGGCCGUGCACCGGUGAUUCCGACGACUACUUCAGUCGAAUCCUCCUCGUCGGCAUCCUAACGGGUGUCCCAACUUCAGGUUCGAGCCUAUAUCACCAUCGUGGUCCGUUUUGUGUGCUCGCUGGCUUUUGCUUGCACAGUUUGGGCAGGUUGUUUGCAUUUGAGCAAAUCGUAGUAUACUGGCCACUCUGGACCCUUAAAGGGGUUUUUUCAACACUGCUGCUGAAAUAAUACAAGUUCUGCACAUAUUUCUUUGCCUUCAAAAAUCAGAAAGGUACGAGCAGUUGUUCCUUCUGAAUGGUUUGAGCAGAGAACUGAGACUCUGCAGUUGACCACUGAAUUAACGUGGGUGAAUGUGCAGUGUUCUGUGCAUAUGUUUCACUUAAACAAGAUACACACUGGACUUGACCAAAAAACAGCUUGGAGUCCCGAACAGUUUUUCACCGCCACCUUCUUAUCAUUUUAUCGAGGCACUUUGGGGCCAUAUAAAUAUUACCUUUUUGACAUGAUUACUGAUUAGCAAUUUGGCAUCACCAUGUAACAAUGACAUCACCAGAUGACUCAAGACUUCAGGAAUGGAAGAGACAGCUUAUUCACCAAGCCUGUGUAGAACGACGGAAAUGCAGUGACAGUUCAACUGAAGAAUAAGAGAGUGGGCCACGGUGUGCUGCAAGUGCAGGGGCACAGCCAUUCAUUAGCGGCUGAUGCUGUCGAUACAAAACAGACUAGCUCCACAAGAUGACCUGCAGGCAUGACCAGCUUGGUUGCUCGCUUGUGGCGGCAAGCCGGCAAUCCCUAGGAAAAUUUUGAUGCAAAGUUCAGUCUCACAGGAAUGAAUCACUCCCUUCGCUAGCGUAUUCCAGGGUACCUGCAAGUUUGGCAGGCUAAUAUUCAUGGACAUCAUGGUGCUACAUGAGGCUAGAUAUUUUUUGAAGUAAACAUGAGGCUAGAUAUAGCAGUCAGGAAGUGAAUUAUUUCGGAUCAGUAAGUAUUUCCCUGCACAUCAAUACUUCAAUAGGAUAACAUUCUUGUCUAACAAUAUCGCUCUAAGGCCCAGGAACCAAAUUUAUAUUUUGAUAUUAUUAGUGCUGUCUAGUUAAAACAAAAGACAACUACUUUAGUUCAACACAGCAUAGUAACCCUGAUCAGAGUAUCAGAUAAGCAAUAUGAUCUGGCAAAGGUUCAAGUUGUCACAUACUCAUUACAUAUAGAAAAUGAGAAGGGUCUAUAUCCUUUAUUUU